This 489-nucleotide ribosomal RNA is filed under the name Streptococcus sp. oral taxon 431. RNAcentral's name for it is "bacterial SSU rRNA". It matches the Rfam family "Bacterial small subunit ribosomal RNA", at positions 28 to 501 of the family's 1533-position model. Lineage: Bacteria; Bacillati; Bacillota; Bacilli; Lactobacillales; Streptococcaceae. The record is from RNAcentral.
GACGAACGCUGCCGGCGUGCUUAAUACAUGCAAGUAGACCGCUGAAGGAGAAGCUUGCUUCUCCGGAUGAGUUGCGAACGGGUGAGUAACGCGUAGGUAACCUGCCUGGUAGCGGGGGAUAACUAUUGGAAACGAUAGCUAAUACCGCAUAACAGUAGAUAUUGCAUGAUAUCUGCUUGAAAGGUGCAAAUGCAUCACUACCAGAUGGACCUGCGUUGUAUUAGCUAGUUGGUGAGGUAACGGCUCACCAAGGCGACGAUACAUAGCCGACCUGAGAGGGUGAUCGGCCACACUGGGACUGAGACACGGCCCAGACUCCUACGGGAGGCAGCAGUAGGGAAUCUUCGGCAAUGGACGGAAGUCUGACCGAGCAACGCCGCGUGAGUGAAGAAGGUUUUCGGAUCGUAAAGCUCUGUUGUAAGAGAAGAACGAGUGUGAGAGUGGAAAGUUCACACUGUGACGGUAUCUUACCAGAAAGGGACGGGUACU